UGGGGGGCAAAAAGACGAUUCUUUAACUUGUCAUAGCCACUGCUCCUAAGACAGCGAGAAAUUAGGUUAAUAAAUUGAAACUUGGAGGUCUAAGUGAAGCAGCGCGUCACAGUGAAGGGAAAACAUCGCAGAGAAACCGGUGAAGAGCAAGUCAAAACCGCCCCUUUUCUUUUUUUUGUGUAGCCGUUAUGGCAACGGCUACAUAACGGCUAACAGGCAGCCGAGCUAGCUGCUGGUCGACUAGCUCGGCUAGCUGACAGAGAUUCAACACCAGAAAACACGAAGCUGGGGGCGGAGUUUUGCCCGCUUGACGUCACGUUUCAACGUGCCAAAUAAAAUGAUGGAUGAUUCCUGCAGCUCCCAGAGCGACACUCUCCGAUGGUGGACACCAGGUCAAACUAGAAAACAGAAUUCAGCUCUUGAAAUUCACAGGUCAACAAAACUGCUUUGAAACUUCAAGGAAAAAAAGGAAGAAACAAGAUUUUAUGUUUUUCCCCUUUCUAUCUUUAUGGGUGAUUCAACAGAUCUUUAAUGUAACCAACACCCUUCCUGCUUGCUCCACACAAAUUAAAAGGUACUAGGGACGUCUGACUGCUACCAAAACAGGAAAGGACUGCGCCUGCCGAUAAGGAAAACUGAAGAGCUGUAGCUUCACUCAGCAUGGGAGGGGGCUUGUGAGCAAAUGCUCUUCUGCGACUGAGAUUUGUUUGUUUGAGGGAUGACACAAGUGCGUUAUAUUAACUUUCCACAUAGGCACUUAAAGGCAAGUGUAAAACAGGAUGUGAGUGUUUCUGAAUGAUGGUUCAAACUUGUCAGCAGGAGAGGCUAAAGAAGGCGGCGUGUCACCUCUGUCAGCUGUUCCAGGGAGUUGGCGUAGGUGGGUCGGGCGUACACAAAGACAGGACGUGCCACCUCGUCGCCGGAUGAAGCCAAAC
This is a long non-coding RNA of Poeciliopsis prolifica (blackstripe livebearer), 935 nucleotides long. RefSeq lists it as uncharacterized. The record is from RefSeq and is a predicted model, not a curated record. NCBI's taxonomy places the organism in Eukaryota, Metazoa, Chordata, Actinopteri, Cyprinodontiformes, Poeciliidae. The transcript is spliced from 3 exons.